This 104-nucleotide transfer RNA is filed under the name Kwoniella dejecticola CBS 10117. Its description in RNAcentral is "tRNA-Pro". It matches the Rfam family "tRNA". From Rfam's summary of the family: Transfer RNA (tRNA) molecules are approximately 80 nucleotides in length. Their secondary structure includes four short double-helical elements and three loops (D, anti-codon, and T loops). Further hydrogen bonds mediate the characteristic L-shaped molecular structure. tRNAs have two regions of fundamental functional importance: the anti-codon, which is responsible for specific mRNA codon recognition, and the 3' end, to which the tRNAs corresponding amino acid is attached (by aminoacyl-tRNA synthetases). tRNAs cope with the degeneracy of the genetic code in two manners: having more than one tRNA (with a specific anti-codon) for a particular amino acid; and 'wobble' base-pairing, i.e. permitting non-standard base-pairing at the 3rd anti-codon position. Lineage: Eukaryota; Fungi; Basidiomycota; Tremellomycetes; Tremellales; Cryptococcaceae. The record is from RNAcentral.
GCCGCCAUAGUGUAGUGGUAGCAUGUAUCCUUCGGGCUUAAACUCCCGAUCGUUUUAACGAUCAAAUUUGGAUGAGGUCUUCGGUUCAAUCCCGGAUGGUGGCC